GAUAUCCUGAAGCCUGACACAGCAGCAUGACCGGAAACUUGCUGCCUGGCAUAACCGAAAGAAAACCCACCUCUCCGCAAAAAUGUCUGGCAACCAUUUAGCAGUUACUCUGGACUAUGAUUCUGGCUCCAUCACCUUUUUAGAAACCUCACUGUUGGCAGCCCUUCCUUCAACAUCUAGAUUCAGGGUUUUCCCGCCUUUGGCCCAAGAUGCUGGCAUAUGUUCCAGCAUGCCUGCGACAGAGGAUAAGCGGUUGGAGAACAAAUGGAAUGUUGAAAUUUGACAAAAUAUAAGCACAGUUCACUCUUCUUUAAUUUAUUGUUUUUAUUUCUUGUGAUGUUCAAAAAUAAAAAAGUACUU
Molecule: long non-coding RNA, 360 nt
Organism: Cyprinus carpio carpio
Lineage: Eukaryota; Metazoa; Chordata; Actinopteri; Cypriniformes; Cyprinidae
Source: Ensembl